RNAcentral lists this ribosomal RNA (891 nucleotides) under Mammaliicoccus sciuri. Its description in RNAcentral is "bacterial SSU rRNA". It matches the Rfam family "Bacterial small subunit ribosomal RNA", at positions 10 to 873 of the family's 1533-position model. Lineage: Bacteria; Bacillati; Bacillota; Bacilli; Caryophanales; Staphylococcaceae. The record is from RNAcentral.
AGUUUGGAUCUGGCUCAGGAUGAACGCUGGCGGCGUGCCUUAAUACAUGCAAGUCGAGCGAACAGAUGAGAAGCUUGCUUCUCUGAUGUUAGCGGCGGACGGGUGAGUAACACGUGGGUAACCUACCUAUAAGACUGGGAUAACUCCGGGAAACCGGGGCUAAUACCGGAUAAUAUUUUGAACCGCAUGGUUCGAUAGUGAAAGACGGUUUCGGCUGUCACUUAUAGAUGGACCCGCGCCGUAUUAGCUAGUUGGUAAGGUAACGGCUUACCAAGGCGACGAUACGUAGCCGACCUGAGAGGGUGAUCGGCCACACUGGAACUGAGACACGGUCCAGACUCCUACGGGAGGCAGCAGUAGGGAAUCUUCCGCAAUGGGCGAAAGCCUGACGGAGCAACGCCGCGUGAGUGAUGAAGGUCUUCGGAUCGUAAAACUCUGUUGUUAGGGAAGAACAAAUUUGUUAGUAACUGAACAAGUCUUGACGGUACCUAACCAGAAAGCCACGGCUAACUACGUGCCAGCAGCCGCGGUAAUACGUAGGUGGCAAGCGUUAUCCGGAAUUAUUGGGCGUAAAGCGCGCGUAGGCGGUUUCUUAAGUCUGAUGUGAAAGCCCACGGCUCAACCGUGGAGGGUCAUUGGAAACUGGGAAACUUGAGUGCAGAAGAGGAGAGUGGAAUUCCAUGUGUAGCGGUGAAAUGCGCAGAGAUAUGGAGGAACACCAGUGGCGAAGGCGGCUCUCUGGUCUGUAACUGACGCUGAUGUGCGAAAGCGUGGGGAUCAAACAGGAUUAGAUACCCUGGUAGUCCACGCCGUAAACGAUGAGUGCUAAGUGUUAGGGGGUUUCCGCCCCUUAGUGCUGCAGCUAACGCAUAAGCACACAGCUGAGAGUAC